UACAGAGGUCUCAACCGUUGUUCGGAUUCAUUGGGCGUAAAGGGUGCGUAGGCGGUCGCGCAAGUCGGAUGUGAAAUCUCAGGGCUCAACCCUGAAACUGCAUUCGAUACUGCGUGGCUAGAGUGCUGGAGAGGAGACUGGAAUUCCUGGUGUAGCGGUGAAAUGCGCAGAUAUCAGGAGGAACACCGGUGGCGAAGGCGGUUCUCUGGGCAUUACCUGACGCUGAGGAGCGAAAGUGUGGGGAGCGAACAGG
This 253-nucleotide ribosomal RNA is filed under the name uncultured bacterium. RNAcentral describes it as "partial 16S ribosomal RNA". It matches the Rfam family "Bacterial small subunit ribosomal RNA", at positions 524 to 776 of the family's 1533-position model. The record is from RNAcentral.